Molecule: ribosomal RNA, 305 nt
Filed under: uncultured bacterium
Lineage: Bacteria
Description: bacterial SSU rRNA
Rfam family: Bacterial small subunit ribosomal RNA
Source: RNAcentral
CCCUACGGGGGGCAGCAGUGAGGAAUAUUGGUCAAUGGUCGGGAGACUGAACCAGCCAAGCCGCGUGAGGGAGGAAGGUACAGAGUAUCGUAAACCUCUUUUGUCAGGGAACAAAGGCGGGGACGUGUCCCCGGAUGAGUGUACCUGAAGAAAAAGCAUCGGCUAACUCCGUGCCAGCAGCCGCGGUAAUACGGAGGAUGCGAGCGUUAUCCGGAUUUAUUGGGUUUAAAGGGGGCGCAGGCGGUCUGUUAAGUCAGCGGUCAACUCCCGGGGCUCAACCCCGGCCCGCCGUUGAAACUGGCAGU